GCGCGCGGCUAUUUAAGGGCGCGGCGUUGUAUCGCGGGGCACCAUUCUCGCCGACGACGCCGCUACGUGCCCGAGGAAUACCCGCACGAGAGAGAGAGCAAGAGCGAGCGAGAGCAAGAGCCUGCGUCUUUGUGCCGCCUGUGGGUAGACUUUAUUUGUAAAAGAUGGAGAACGUCAACCUCGUUAUGACUUAUGUUAUUCUCAUAUCGUUUCUAGUGGUGUUAUAUAUGUUUUUGGAAGGUCUAAUAUUCUAAGAAGAACGUAUCCAUGUAGGGUAUCUCUUACCCCUAUGAAACCCUCCCUUUACCCCUCCCCCAUUUCCUAACCCUCCCUCCCCCUCCCCCUUGUAAACUAUGUAGUGAUUCCUAACCUCAAUAACGUAAUGUAAGUCUUUUUUUAUAUACAUUUUAAGAAAUCAUCUCUCCAGCGUAUUUUUUCACUCGUCCCCACCUAUUUUGGUUUUUCGUUCCUUUGUUUUCCCUCAAAAUCUCAUCUUAAACAGAAACUCUCCCUUUCCCUUCUCCAGCGACCGCACCCGUUCUUCUCCCUCCUUCAACACCCUUCCCCACCUUGAAGCGCCUCCCGCCUGCCUUCCCUCCCUCGCAAGCGGUGUUGGAGGCAAGUGUUCUUCGCCGCCACGAUGGAGAACCAGUCCCUCGCCAGCACCUACUUCGUCCUCCUCGCCUGCCUGGCCGUGCUCUACGUCGUUCUCGAAGUGAUGUGAGCGCUGUGUCCGAAAGAGGAAGAGAAAGGAAGAUAAAUAAAGUGAUACACGCAGGGGAAGGGAAAAAAACGGACAUAAAAGCGAAGAGAAAAGGAUAGCUGUGAAGUUAUUUUCGAGUAAGGAGAAUCCGGAACGUCAUGUUUAGCAGUGAGAACAGGUCCCUUGUUUUCACGUACGGUAUCCUGUUGGCCUUCUUAGUGGUUUUGUAUCUCUUCCUUCAGGGGGCCUUUUAGAGACGAAGAGCCUUAGGAAGUGGGAAAGGUGUAAGACAAGAGGAAUAAAAAGUAUUAAGAAGGAAGUCACCCAAAAGUAAACAAAGAUGGAGAACGCAAACCUGGGCUACACGUAUGCCAUUCUGCUGACCUUCCUCGUCGUGCUGUACCUGGUCCUGGACAGCGCCUUCUUCUAAGCCGUUCCCUCAGCGACGCGGAGAUCGACUCGCCCUUGAACAACGAUGGAGGAGAACAAGAGCCUCGCCUUCACUUACCUUAUCUUGGUGACCUUCCUGGUGGCCCUGUAUGUGAUCCUCGAAGGCACCAUAUUCUAGGGCCCACCAUGCCCAAGGACAGCGACAGUGUGAGCCUGUUCCACAACUGCAUGGUGCUCGUCGGUCUCCUUGUGGCGCUCUAUCUGUUCGUAGAGAGUUCCGGAAGUUAACAGUUGUCUUAUAAAUAGAAGAUCAACGACGCAGGCGACAGACCUCGACCAAAACUGAGGAAGUAGGUCUCGCUGUGCCGGGUGCCGAGGAUCAAAAUCUCUUCCACGCUUAUCUUACCUUUAUGGCUUUCCUACCUGCCUUUUACAUCUCGUACGAAGCCUAGCACUUCUAGAUAUAUAAUUAUAUAAAGUAUAGGAACGAGCACCAACAAGGGAAUACGUCGAGUUUCUUGCUUAAGAUCGUUUCAUCAGCUGCUUGGCAUGGCCGCUGUCGAGAAGCAGCUGUUUGGUUGUACAUACGCCGUGCUGCUGUGCUUCCUUCUAGUGGUGUAUGCCGUAUUCCAGUCUUAGACCUACACCGUAACGGCCCAUAGGCCUAGAAGGACGCCGAAACCCGCUUUAAGAAGCGCGGCGUUCUUUUGGGCUUUCGGAGAAACCCCGAGCUUCAUCCCCAAUACGCUGGAGAAACCCUCGCCCUCAACCUCGCCUAUCUCACACAACCCUUCACACACCCUGUCACAACUCCUCCCUUUGAGAAGGUAAUAUAUAUCAAGCAAGCGCUGUUGCUCACUUCCGUUCGCAACCGUUGGCAGACAUUACUCAUAGUGCUCUCCUGACCAACGUCACGGGCAAGGUGUGGAUAGCGAUUCAAGGACGUCGGCCUCCACCUGCACACGCUAAGAAAGGACACUGUUCUUUUGACUGCUCAGGAAAUUCACUCGCUUUUUCGAUAUAAGUAGGUCCUGCAUCUGACAAGAUCAAGUUUAAGAUUGCACUGACCCAGCUGCCUUAUCGCCCGAACUGCGGUCCUAGAAAGCUCUCGCGGUCGACUUCUCUCGCCGGUACCGGAAGCGACUCAAGAUGGACCUGUACCUCCUGUCGCCGCCCUUCCUCAAGAAGAUGAUUCGACGGCCGUCCUCUGCAGGCCAGGAAGAGACUUCUAUACUCCAGGAGGACGUACUGGCCGUUGCGGAGGGACCUCAGCCUUUCGCCGAAAGCCCUCUCGACGGAGACUUCGAAGGAAACGUCGACAAGGCGGGGGCGCGGCUCGGGCGGCGGCGGUCCAGCCUCGAUCGGAUGCUGCGCCAGCACGCCUACAUCAUCAUCUGUGCCCUCUGCUAUGCUUGUAACACGUUGCCGUCACACAUGACCUGAAGUUCAGGAGCGUGAAGCCCCCACACACCCCGCGCCCACGUCUGGAGGGUGAGGGGGACCUUCUGAGCCUUGCAGUUAUCAGAUCAUUCAGGAUAUAAGGAUUAGUGUGGCAUCAAUCCUGAAUUUCAGGGCCAUCGUGUGACCCCCUCCAAGCCCUAUCGGGGGGCUGUGUCUCACGAGUCGAGUGCGAAACUCAAAGAUCAGUAAACGGCAGCGCACUCUGUGCUGUUCCUAAGCCUGGCUGUUAUAGAGAGUAGUCCCGUCGCAUUAUAGUCUUGAAAGAGCAUCUCUCAAAGAGCAAAAAAAUAAAAAAAUAAAAAAAAUAAAUGUAUUUAGUUGUAGAUCGCUCAGUUUUUGGUCAGUUAAGUAGUUUAAUCGAAGGUGUCUGGUUGUAACAACGGUAGUUAUAGCGUAGUCCCUCAUCGCGGUUCGUUACUCGUUACUCGCGUGAUCUUUCAAGUAACAAGUAAUUUUAUGUCUUUAAGUAGAUACCAAGACAGGUGCAGUGGAGAUGAUAUCGGUCCUCCCUCCUCCUCUCUCGGAAGCACCUGUUGUUAAGUUGAUAAAUGUAUGUUUAUAUACAUAUGUACAUACACACAUAGAGACAUACAUACAUGGAUUUAUAUAAUAUAUAUAUAUUAUAUUUUAUAUAUAUAUUAUAUUUAUAUAUAUAUGUAUAUAUAUAUAUAUAUAUAUAUAUAGUGUGUGUGUGUGUGUGUGUGUGUGUGUGUGUGUGUGUUCGAAUGUAUAUAUACAUACACACGUUUUUGAAGACUGUAGACUAUCUUUAACUGAGCCUCAUGACGUCACAGCAAUGGACGUUCGAUCUUUGUUCAUUUAUUUUUUUUUCUCGACAUAGCUCUUCUUAAGAUGUAAUGUUACUAACGUGCGCAUUACUUUGUUUUCAAAUUUCUAGUCUUUAUUUUUUUUUGGCUGUAGACGCACUUCCUUCGGCCUGCCCCCAAGGAGUGCAAUAGACAUCACUAACGUCUUGACGAAACGAGACAUAAGAACCAUGGUUAUAUUGUUCACGUGUAUUAUUAUCAUCAUUUACUUCGCUAUUUGUUGUUUUUUUUUAUCAGUCGGUCGCCACGGUUUGAAAUCUGAAAUAUCUGAAUAACAUUGAUUAGAUUUUGAAAUUGAUAUGAUAUGUUAUUUUUUUAUGAUAUAGUUACAACGAUCCCAAAUUUCUGUCUUGUUAUCAUUGGCUAAGCGACUACGAGUGGGUGACAGUGCAAUAUGUAUAAACGGUGGUAGUUAUAGCGACUUUUUAUAUGUAUUCAGAGUAAAUAAUUUAUUAAUGA
Molecule: long non-coding RNA, 3840 nt
Organism: Penaeus chinensis
Lineage: Eukaryota; Metazoa; Arthropoda; Malacostraca; Decapoda; Penaeidae
Exons: 2
Source: RefSeq, a predicted model, not a curated record